RNAcentral lists this ribosomal RNA (460 nucleotides) under uncultured bacterium. Its description in RNAcentral is "partial 16S ribosomal RNA". It matches the Rfam family "Bacterial small subunit ribosomal RNA", at positions 338 to 795 of the family's 1533-position model. The record is from RNAcentral.
CCUACGGGUGGCAGCAGUGAGGAAUAUUGGUCAAUGGACGCAAGUCUGAACCAGCCAUGCCGCGUGCAGGAAGACGGCUCUAUGAGUUGUAAACUGCUUUUGUACGAGGGUAAACGCAGAUACGCGUAUCUGUCUGAAAGUACCGUACGAAUAAGGAUCGGCUAACUCCGUGCCAGCAGCCGCGGUAAUACGGAGGAUUCAAGCGUUAUCCGGAUUUAUUGGGUUUAAAGGGUGCGUAGGCGGUCUGAUAAGUUAGAGGUGAAAUCCCGAGGCUCAACUUCGGAAUUGCCUUUGAUACUGUUCGUCUAGAGAGUAGUAGAGGUAGGCGGAAUGUGUGGUGUAGCGGUGAAAUGCUUAGAGAUCAUACAGAACACCGAUUGCGAAGGCAGCUUACCAAGCUACUUCUGACGUUGAGGCACGAAAGCGUGGGGAGCAAACAGGAUUAGAUACCCGAGUAGUC